Molecule: non-coding RNA, 49 nt
Organism: Trichobilharzia regenti
Lineage: Eukaryota; Metazoa; Platyhelminthes; Trematoda; Strigeidida; Schistosomatidae
Source: Rfam
GUACUGCUGAAGCGGAGUCCCAAACUAGGACGAAACAGCUGUCCAGUAC